GGACGUCGAAGGUGGGGCUGAUGACUGGGGUGAAGUCGUAACAAGGUAUCCGUACCGGAAGGUGCGGAUGGAUCACCUCCUAACAGGGAGACAAACAACGAUUUUGAUGCCUGAGUGUUUUUAUUCUUAGGCCGAAAUCCUGUCACCUUAUGGUCGAUCGGUACCUCAGCUUUGAAGUCAAGAAACUGCAGAAAUGUGGUUUGCUUGAUGGAAAUUUUCAGUUCCUAAACUUUGUCUAGGUCACACCCCACAAGGGUUGAGUCUCCUGGGCCAUUAGCUCAGGUGGUUAGAGCGCACCCCUGAUAAGGGUGAGGUCCCUGGUUCAAGUCCAGGAUGGCCCAUUCGGUGUUGGGGGUUUAGCUCAGUUGGUAGAGCGCCUGCUUUGCAAGCAGGAUGUCAGGAGUUCGAGUCUCCUAACCUCCACUGACCGAACUCAAUCUCCAUUGUCCGAUUUUGGAGGAUGAACUCGAGUGUGGUUUGUGAUUUAGAUAUGUCCGCUGGAAGACCCUAGCUUCCUGUCAUUCCAAAGCAUGAGUAUUGACUCAGGAUUUGGUUGAUAAGAUGCUGGGCUCAAACUGAGCAAUCAGUUUGAUUUCUAGCAGAACCUUGACAACUGCAUAGGAAAGUCUGGAAAAAACAAAGCAUCUUACAGAUGCAUUGUUUUGAGUUUAAUCUUUCGAAAGGAAGAUUAAAUCCAGAGCAAUGAACAAUUCUUUUGAGCAAGAGCCGAGACUCUUGAGCGUUCUUGGAUUCGUGUCGAGCGAAUCUGAGUUUGAUUUUAUUUUAUUUUUCAGUGAAAACUGAGGAAUAAGGUUUAAGAAUCUGCUUUCAACGGCAGCAAGCGUUCAAGAGAUUAAUUGGUCAAGCUACAAAGGGCUCACG
This 882-nucleotide unclassified non-coding RNA is filed under the name uncultured Synechococcus sp. Its description in RNAcentral is "partial may contain 16S ribosomal RNA, 16S-23S ribosomal RNA intergenic spacer, and 23S ribosomal RNA". The stretch from base 351 to 423 matches the Rfam family "tRNA". Lineage: Bacteria; Bacillati; Cyanobacteriota; Cyanophyceae; Synechococcales; Synechococcaceae. The record is from RNAcentral.